RNAcentral lists this ribosomal RNA (712 nucleotides) under uncultured marine bacterium. RNAcentral's name for it is "bacterial SSU rRNA". It matches the Rfam family "Bacterial small subunit ribosomal RNA", at positions 74 to 777 of the family's 1533-position model. The record is from RNAcentral.
GUAUCUUCGGAUAUGAGUAGAGCGGCGGACGGGUGAGUAACGCGUAGGAAUCUACCUAGUAGAAGGGGAUAGCCCGAGGAAACUCGGAUUAAUACCGUAUACCUCCUUCGGGAGAAAGAGGGCCUCUCUUUGAAGCUUUCGCUACUAGAUGAGCCUGCGUAAGAUUAGCUUGUUGGUGAGGUAAAGGCUCACCAAGGCUACGAUCUUUAGCGGGUCUGAGAGGACGAUCCGCCACAUUGGGACUGAGACACGGCCCAGACUCCUACGGGAGGCAGCAGUGGGGAAUAUUGGACAAUGGGCGCAAGCCUGAUCCAGCCAUACCGCGUGUGUGAAGAAGGCCCUAGGGUUGUAAAGCACUUUAAGUUGGGAAGAAAAGUUAUUGGCUAAUAUCCAAUAACCGUGACAUUACCAUCAGAAAUAAGGACCGGCUAAUUCCGUGCCAGCAGCCGCGGUAAUACGGAAGGUCCAAGCGUUAAUCGGAAUUACUGGGCGUAAAGCGCGCCGUAGGUGGUUUAUUAAGGUUGGAUGUGAAAUCCCCGGGCUCAACCUGGGAACUGCAUCCAAAACUGAUUCACUAGAGUACGAUAGAGGGAGGUAGAAUACACAGUGUAGCGGUGGAAUGCGUAGAUAUUGUGAAGAAUACCAAUGGGCGAAGGCAGCCCUCUGGAUCUGUACUGACACUGAGGUGCGAAAGCGUGGGUAGCGAACAGGA